This is a small nucleolar RNA of Salvia miltiorrhiza (redroot sage), 135 nucleotides long. RefSeq annotates it as small nucleolar RNA snoR74. The record is from RefSeq and is a predicted model, not a curated record. The transcript has a single exon. Lineage: Eukaryota; Viridiplantae; Streptophyta; Magnoliopsida; Lamiales; Lamiaceae.
AAAAAAGCAGGGAUCUAGUUGCCAUUUGUGGAUAGGUCUCUCGUAAACUUCAGGGAUAGAAGUCGUGCAAUGUUAUUGGGUGAACCACUUGAGUUUUUCCUAUGAUUUGAUGGUUCAGUAAACAAUGCUACAUUU